GAUGAACGCUAGCGACAGGCUUAACACAUGCAAGUCGAGGGGCAGCAUGAUUUGUAGCAAUACAGAUUGAUGGCGACCGGCGCACGGGUGAGUAACGCGUAUGCAACUUACCUAUCAGAGGGGGAUAGCCCGGCGAAAGUCGGAUUAAUACCCCAUAAAACAGGGGUCCCGCAUGGGAAUAUUUGUUAAAGAUUCAUCGCUGAUAGAUAGGCAUGCGUUCCAUUAGGCAGUUGGCGAGGUAACGGCCCACCAUGGCGACGAUCGGUAGCCGGACUGAGAGGUUGACCGGCCACAUUGGGACUGAGACACGGCCCAGACUCCUACGGGAGGCAGCAGUGAGGGAUAUUGGGCAAUGGGGGAAACCCUGACCCAGCGACGCCGCGUGAGGGAAGACGGUCUUCGGAUUGUAAACCUCUGUCUUUGGGGACGAAAAAGGACGGUACCCAAGGAGGAAGCUCCGGCUAACUACGUGCCAGCAGCCGCGGUAAUACGUAGGGAGCGAGCGUUGUCCGGAAUUACUGGGUGUAAAGGGAGCGUAGGCGGGAAGGCAAGUUGGAUGUGAAAACUGUGGGCUUAACCGACAGACUGCAUUCAAAACUGUUUUUCUUGAGUGAAGUAGAGGCAAGCGGAAUUCCUAGUGUAGCGGUGAAAUGCGUAGAUAUUAGGAGGAACACCAGUGGCGAAGGCGGCUUGCUGGGCUUUUACUGACGCUGAGGCUCGAAAGUGUGGGGAGCAAACAGGAUUAGAUACCCUGGUAGUCCACACCGUAAACGAUGAUUACUAGGUGUGGGGGCGUCAAGCUUCCGUGCCGGAGUUAACACAAUAAGUAAUCCACCUGGGGAGUACGGCCGCAAGGUUGAAACUCAAAGGAAUUGACGGGGGCCCGCACAAGCAGUGGAGUAUGUGGUUUAAUUCGAAGCAACGCGAAGAACCUUACCAGGUCUUGACAUCGUGCGCAUAGUCUAGAGAUAGAUGAAGUCUUUCGGGACGCAUAGACAGGUGGUGCAUGGUUGUCGUCAGCUCGUGUCGUGAGAUGUUGGGUUAAGUCCCGCAACGAGCGCAACCCUUACGAUUAGUUGCUACGCAAGAGCACUCUAAUAGGACUGCCGUUGACAAAACGGAGGAAGGUGGGGAUGACGUCAAAUCAUCAUGCCCCUUAUGACCUGGGCCACACACGUACUACAAUGGCAAUGACAGAGGGAAGCAAGAUAGCGAUAUGGAGCAAACCCCUAAACAUUGUCUCAGUUCGGAUUGCAGGCUGCGACCCGCCUGCAUGAAGCCGGAAAUUGCUAGUAAUCGCGGAUCAGCGUGCCGCGGUGAAUACGUUUCCCGGGCCUU
RNAcentral lists this ribosomal RNA (1338 nucleotides) under uncultured bacterium. Its description in RNAcentral is "bacterial SSU rRNA". It matches the Rfam family "Bacterial small subunit ribosomal RNA", at positions 28 to 1382 of the family's 1533-position model. The record is from RNAcentral.